AUGAACGCUAGCGGCAGGCUUAAUACAUGCAAGUUGAGGGGCAGCAUGAUAUACGCGAGUAUAUUGAUGGCGACCGGCGGACGGGUGAGUAAUAGGUAGGAGACCUACCUCAUACGAGGGGGAUAGCAUAGAGAAAUCUGUGGUAAUACCCCAUGAGGUUAUAUGAAUAGAGGCAUAUAAUCAAAGCAUAAGUGAUUAUGCGGUAUGAGAGGGGCCUACUGACCAUUAGCUAGUUGGUGAGGUAAGGGCUCACCAAGGCGAAGAUGGUUAGGGGUUUUGAGAGAGAGACCCCCCACAUUGGAACUGAGAGACGGUCCAGACUCCUACGGGAGGCAGCAGUAGGGAAUAUUGGGCAAUGGGCGAAAGCCUGACCCAGCCAUGCCGCGUGAAGGAAGACGGCCUUAUGGGUUGUAAACUUCUUUACUACGCGAAUAGAGGUUAGUACGAGAUACUAAUAGGAAGGUAGUGUAGUAAAAAGCACCGGCUAACUCCGUG
RNAcentral lists this ribosomal RNA (495 nucleotides) under uncultured bacterium. RNAcentral describes it as "bacterial SSU rRNA". It matches the Rfam family "Bacterial small subunit ribosomal RNA", at positions 30 to 507 of the family's 1533-position model. The record is from RNAcentral.